Molecule: microRNA precursor, 98 nt
Filed under: Helianthus annuus (common sunflower)
Lineage: Eukaryota; Viridiplantae; Streptophyta; Magnoliopsida; Asterales; Asteraceae
Description: mir-156 microRNA precursor family
Rfam family: mir-156 microRNA precursor family
About the family: This family represents the plant microRNA (miRNA) precursor mir-156. Animal miRNAs are transcribed as ~70nt precursors and subsequently processed by the Dicer enzyme to give a ~22nt product.
Source: Rfam by way of RNAcentral
GUGACAGAAGAGAGUGAGCACACAUGGGUUUUCUUGCAAAAUAAUUAUUUAGCCUCAUGUAUGCUUCAAACUAUGUGUGCUCACCCUCUAUCUGUCAC